RNAcentral lists this ribosomal RNA (366 nucleotides) under uncultured bacterium. Its description in RNAcentral is "bacterial SSU rRNA". It matches the Rfam family "Bacterial small subunit ribosomal RNA", at positions 917 to 1269 of the family's 1533-position model. The record is from RNAcentral.
GGACUCGCACAAGCGGUGGAGCAUGUGGUUUAAUUCGAUGCUAAGCGAAGAACCUUACCAGGGCUUGACAUGUAAGCAUAAGCUUGCGUGAAAGCGUGGAGUGAAUUUGGGCUUGCCCAAAUUGGUUUACACAGGUGCUGCAUGGCUGUCGUCAGCUCGUGCCGUGAGUGUCCGGUUAAGUCCGGUAACGAGCGCAACCCCCUAUUAUCAGUUGCCAUCACUUCGGGUGGGCACUCUGGUGAAACUGCUGGUUUUAAAACUAGAGGAAGGAGGGGGACGACGUCAAGUCAUCAUGGCCUUAUGUCCUGGGCUACACACAUGCUACAAUGGCAGAUACAACGGGUUGCGAACUCGCGAGGGGGAGCU